Alexandromys fortis (reed vole) is the source of this 1120-nucleotide long non-coding RNA. RefSeq lists it as uncharacterized. The transcript has 4 exons. The record is from RefSeq and is a predicted model, not a curated record. Lineage: Eukaryota; Metazoa; Chordata; Mammalia; Rodentia; Cricetidae.
UGCUCACGCCUCUGCUAGGCUCUUUAUCUUCGUCUUUUAAACUUGGAGUGUGAAUAGCCCUUGGGUCCCGUAUCACAGCUUGGGUCUCAGUUCUAACAAUCACUUGUCAGCACAGAGACGGUCACAAAGAGGGCGUAUGCAGAGGUACCUGUAUCUCUGCAACAGCACAACAUCAAGCUGUAUCAAGCAACCUGGACUCACAACGAAAUCUGAAGAAAGUUGUGGUGCUGGCUACAUACAUUGACCUUACUGUGUCCUCACUGUGUGGGCAAAAAAAGGAAACAUUGGUCCAGAGAGACGCCUCAUAAGUUAAGAGCACUGACUGCUCUUGCAGAGGCCCAAGGGUCUCUUGUCCACCUGGAACCUCAUCCCAUAGGCUGGGAUAACUGACCAGCCAUCUGUCAAGAAGCCCCCUGCCUCUGCAUCCCAUCUGACCCACACCAGAAUAACAGAUGUGUACCCCUGCUCCUGGAUCACUACACAGGUUCCAAAUUCAGUUCCCCCCGCUUUCUACUUGCAAGGGGACAGCUUGCUUGAGCGGCCGAGCGCCUGUCUCUUUGUGGUCAAGAGAACAAAUUAAGAUGACAACUAGUGAAUGCCAACAGUGACAAAUACGUCCCAGGAGGUCAAAGCCGGCCUCACGGACACCCAGAGCUCUCAGAAGUUAUUAAGGAGCUAAAUGCUCUACCCAGGAAGUCAUGGGCCUAAUGGAGCUGUGACUAAAGGAUGCUGCUGAUCCUCCCAAGGGGGCCCAGGGAGACCUGCAGAACGUCACAGAAAAAUGAAAGGCAAAGAGACAGAGAGACAGCUGCGGCCUCCUGUAAACAGUCUGAUUUCCCAAUGCGAACCAGAUUGCAGCCCAGGACCUCAGGUAAACAUGUGCGUCAGUGCCCCCAGGCCCCUGCCGCCCAGGAGGCCCAGGGUCUGCAUGGCCCAACUCUGGGACGCAUCACCGUCACCGCCCAGACGGUUCCUAAUUAGGUAAAAUUAGGCCUUGCAUUCCUCCAAAAUCCCCAAGAUCUCUGCAAUUUCAGGUCUUCCCCAAAGGAAAACAUCGGGUAAUUAAACAGCAUGAGCAAGAAUGGUAUAGAAUGUUCUCUGGCUGAGGAAGCAGCUCUGG